This 392-nucleotide ribosomal RNA is filed under the name uncultured bacterium. RNAcentral's name for it is "partial 16S ribosomal RNA". It matches the Rfam family "Bacterial small subunit ribosomal RNA", at positions 523 to 918 of the family's 1533-position model. The record is from RNAcentral.
AUACGGAGGAUCCGAGCGUUAUCCGGAUUUAUUGGGUUUAAAGGGUGCGCAGGCGGCCAUUUAAGUCAGCGGUUAAAUCGUGGGGCUCAACCCCAUUCUGCCGUUGAUACUGGGUGGCUUGAUUGCGGUCGAGGUUGGCGGAAUUCGUUGUGUAGCGGUGAAAUGCAUAGAUAUGACGAAGAACACCGAUUGCGUAGGCAGCUGACCAGACCGCAAAUGACGCUCAUGCACGAAAGUGCGGGGAUCGAACAGGAUUAGAUACCCUGGUAGUCCGCACAGUAAACGAUGAAUACUUGUUUUCGGCGAUAUAAUGUCGGAGGCAAAGCGAAAGCGAUAAGUAUUCCACCUGGGGAGUACGCCGGCAACGGUGAAACUCAAAUGAGUUGACGGGG